RNAcentral lists this long non-coding RNA (460 nucleotides) under Ornithorhynchus anatinus (platypus). RNAcentral describes it as "lncRNA (ENSOANG00000038461.1)". Lineage: Eukaryota; Metazoa; Chordata; Mammalia; Monotremata; Ornithorhynchidae. The record is from RNAcentral.
CUGGGCAGCAGCUCUGCAGCCGGUUCACCCUGCAGGUCAGGUGAACCCAUUUGCAGGCCAGUUCCAGCAAAUGGAUUGUAAUUUGGCUGCCCCUGAUCCGUUGGCAACCCCUGAUUGCCGUCACUGCUGACGCGGUCACCCUCCUGAUUCCUGGUGUGACGGAUGCGAUGUGUUCCUGGCUGACCAGGAAACCAGGUGUUGCCAUCACAGCUGUGGCCCAAGCGUUGGAAGUGGAGGUGGCACAGAGGAAGCAGCUGCAGCAGUAGGUUUGUUAUCGCUACUCAAUCCCAAGGCCAUUUUCUAGAAGCUUGCAUCAAGGAGCCUGCCCCAGCAUUAGACCAUUCAGCCACCAAUGACACCAGGUAUUGGAAAUAAAUCAAUCAGUGGUAUUUACUGAACAUUUACUGUGUGCAGAGUGCUGUAAUAAUUAUAAUAAUUGUGGUAUUAAGCAUUUACUAUA